UGGCGGCGUGCCUAAUACAUGCAAGUCGAACGGUCUUUCUAUGGAAGCUUGCUUCCACUGAGAAGAUAGUGGCGAACGGGUGAGUAACACGUGGGUAACCUGCCCAUAAGAGGGGGAUAACAUCCGGAAACGGGUGCUAAUACCGCAUAGUUUUCUUGAUCGCAUGAUCGGGAAAGGAAAGACGGCCUUUGUGCUGUCGCUUAUGGAUGGACCCGCGGCGUAUUAGUUAGUUGGUGAGGUAACGGCUCACCAAGACGAUGAUACGUAGCCGACCUGAGAGGGUGAUCGGCCACAUUGGGACUGAGACACGGCCCAAACUCCUACGGGAGGCAGCAGUAGGGAAUCUUCCGCAAUGGACGAAAGUCUGACGGAGCAACGCCGCGUGAGUGAAGAAGGUUUUUCCGGAUCGUAAAACUCUGUUGUCAGAGAAGAACAAGUUGGAGAGUAACUGCUCCAGCCUUGACGGUAUCUGACCAGAAAGCCACGGCUAACUACGUGCCAGCCGCAGC
This 509-nucleotide ribosomal RNA is filed under the name uncultured bacterium. RNAcentral's name for it is "bacterial SSU rRNA". It matches the Rfam family "Bacterial small subunit ribosomal RNA", at positions 37 to 518 of the family's 1533-position model. The record is from RNAcentral.